Molecule: long non-coding RNA, 18291 nt
Organism: Columba livia (rock pigeon)
Lineage: Eukaryota; Metazoa; Chordata; Aves; Columbiformes; Columbidae
Exons: 6
Source: RefSeq, a predicted model, not a curated record
CAGCUCUGCUCUUUGGUUUGCUCUGAUUAAUUUAGCAAAUGAAACUCCUGUAAACUCACAUAACUUUUUUGCUUAUACAAAACUACUGUUGCUAUAUAGUUUUAAGUAAGCCCUGAGUAAACUAUCCUGUAGAUAACUAACUCAGUAUAACAAAAGCCUUUAAAAAGCUUUUUGUUGAAAAGUGGUUUUCUGUAAAGUAACAUUUUGUGCUGGGGCAUAGAGAUUGUAUGAAAUGAAACGGCUCUUUUCAGUAAGCUGCCUUUAUUUUAGCGUAUGAGAAAAACAACUGCUACUGUUUACACUCCUUAAUCAAGCCAAGCAUUUGCACCUGCCUAUGCUUGUGUGUGGAGGAGGUGGAGAGAGGUCUGAGAGAUGCUACUCUUGCGGAUGAAGAGAGAAGAAGGAUGGUCUCAGCCAGGAUUGGUUCCUGCUUCUUUCCCUGCGGAUACACAGAGAAGCCAGAAUGGAGGUGAGGAAACAAUCCCAGCCAUGUUUCCUUUGUGCUGGUUUUCUGAACUUCCCUGGGAGGGAUCGUGUGCUGGUUCCCAUUACCUGGAAUGUCGGUUUUGCCACUUUGCCACCGGUCUGUUGGAUGUGGGAUCCCAUUUCUGGCUGGGAUCAAUGUCUGUGCUCUGGGCAACAGUGAAAAUCUCCCAGAUCUCACAAAGCUUCACAAAGAGGAGUAAACGUUGUCAUCUGCAUUUUACAGGUACAUAAACUGAGGCAAACAGCAGAAAGUUACAUCUGAUAGACCUGGACAAAGACAGAUCUGAAAUGGAGUCAUAGAGGUUUGAAGUGUUUAAUAGUUUUGAGGAUAUCAUGCCCCAUUUUUCCUUAAAUUAUUAUAUGAAAGGGUGAUAUAACUGAACUACAAAGGUUAUCAUGAUUUUCCUUUCUCCUGCAUGUCCUUCAGUUUUGUGGAUUUUGUCUUAAAUCUAUGCAGGUGAUAAUUUAAAGUAAAUGUUCUCCUGCUGUGAACCUGAACGCUUCUGUCUUCAGUUUAACUCUAUUAAUGCUUCACUUCCGUGCCUCCAAAGCUAUUGCUUCCUUCUUUCCAUGAAAACACAUUGGUGCAGAACACAUUUAAGUGUAUUGGGAGCAAAAUAUUAGCUUGAGGUACCAGAUGUCGGGGUAUGAAAUGCCCUGAAGCAGUCACUGGAAGAAGCGACACAAGAUGCCCUUGAGAAUUUCAAGGAAGCGAAGUCUGUCUUCGUGCCAGCAGUCCUGGCUGAAAAAUGACUCUGGACUUAAUCACUGCAAAGACACAAAAUUGUACAUGAUAUUUUCAUUCUUGGUCCUACUCCUCACCCCCCAAAUUUCUGCUGCUGUAUAUUAAGCAUCCCCCUUGUGAAGUUAAAGCAGCUCAUAAAAGCGUUAAGUAAAAAGUCAAAACUUACAUGGGAACUGUUACAUUUUCUCUGUGUGGCCAUAAUGAGGUUAUUUAUGGUACAUGUAGGAAAGAUUAAAGGUUUUCAUAAUAAAGGAAAGCAAGAGCUCAAGAAUUGGGUGCCUCCUAACAGCACUGACUCUCAAGAUGGGAUAAAUCACCCAAGCAACCAUUAAAACUUCAAGAAGAUUGCUUGUAAACCUCCGAGCAAUGCCAAUAAAGCAUAUUCCUUGCCAUAUAGCAGUCCAUAUGGUGGAGCUCAGCAGUUUUUCAAAACCAAGGGCUACUCACAAUUUAACCCUACUGUCUUUUUCCUUAGAGGGCAGAGCGCCAAUGCACCACUAUCAAAUCAAUGCAAUCUUUAGAUGUGGGAGGGCAGGGAACAUGGAGAGCAGACUCAGGAGAAGUUAACUUGCCAGACAGCGAGGUUCUCAAGAGCACAGAGAUGGGCUGGAUUCCUGCACCAUUUUUCAUUACGCUGCUUCUUGGGGGUCUCCCGUCAUAACACAAUGUUAAAGACACAUUUUUAUGGGCUCUCAGGAAGUUAGGAAAAUAUUCCAAGGCCCCUCAAGGUUCUGGUUCAUUUGCAUUUUAAAAAGUCAAGUCUUCCACUCUAAAAGGCCAACGUAGUGAAAACUGCAAUAAAUCACAAUGUAAGCUUGCGUGUGGCAUAACAUCAGCAACUGCACGGGACAAAGCCAGAAAUCCCACCUUGAGUUUUACACCAGAGAAAAGCCCCAAAUCAAUGAAAUUGUUUCUUUGUUUGUUUGUUUGGGGGUUUUGUGUGUGUUUCUUUGUUUGGGGUGGCGUGGGUUGGUUCGUUCGUUCUUGGUUUGACGGGUUUUUUACCUCCCAGUUGUUUUUCAGGGAAAUCAAACCUAGACAUAGAGAUGUGACCCUCCUGGCUCAGGUAAGCACUGAGGAAAGGGAUGUGGGAGUAAACAUGGUCCAGUGCUGGCCCAAGAGUAAUUCGCAGAGAUGGGUCCUCUGUGGGCCAAGUUCUGCAGCCUUACCCAGUAGAUUUCUCUUUUGUUUCAUUUAUUUUUCAAGCCUUAUGCAAGAUAAGUCACCAACUCUGUUCUUCAUGUUAAUUCUUAAGAUUGAUUUAAGGGAGUCAAACAAAUUCAUGAAGAGUCCUAAUUCUGCAGAUUGCGGGCUCCCCAUGGCAGCCCGCAGUGAGCUGCUGGGGAACUCUGGUAAUGGAAUCAUUUCCCACAAUGACAGCCUGAGUCUCACUGGGGGAUUUCUAGUGUUAUUACAUAAUAAAUAACAGUGAUUAUCAUAAAGAUGAGGAAAACCUACCAGUAUUCAAAUAAUUCAGAUUUAACCAAAUGUUCGCUUUUCAGAAAACAUUUUUUUUCCAACCAAUACGAAAAGAAAAUAUUUCUGUGAGGGAAAGGAAGUAAAUCUAAAUCUCCUAUAAAUACAUUAACAUUGGUCACUUGUGCAAAUCAAUUGUACUGGCACAUCAACUGAGAUAAAUUGUCAUACUGUUAGUUUUCAUAGAGUUAUUCUAAAGCUGUGCUGGAGUAAAAGUCUUAUUCGGUUGAAAUAAGUGGCCAUCUUUGUCCAAUGACUUCGGUGCAUAUGUGCACUGGGAUUUAACAAUAGAGGUAAAUAGAUCCAAAGUUUCUGUCUGUAUAAACUAAACUAUCACAGUCUUCAAUGCAAUCUUCAGAUAUUUUAGUGAUUGUUACCACAGACUACCUGCAGACCUAUCUUUAAAAAGUGAUGAAUGUUCAGGUCUCCUGGUAAAACCAAGGAAACCUUUAGAUGUUUAACACCUCUGAAAAUUAGGUGAUGGCAUCAUAGGUUGAUCAAGCCGGAAUCCUGCAUCUUCCUGGGGAAGAAAAAAAGAAACACCAGUGCUAAAACUCUUAGCCCUCGGCACGUAUUUCUCUCACAGGUAACCUGGGUAGCAGCACUGACAGGCAGACACGAGUGUUGGGGUGUGUGCAGGCUGGUGGUGCUAAGGACUAUGGCAGGUUACCUGGGAAUAGGCCUCCCACGCAACGGCAGUCAAGCAGGACCACAGAGGUGAUGAGGUGGGAGGGAGCAAAAGCCGUGAAACUCCAGCAAAUGCUCAGACGUGGUGCUCCUGCCAUUGCUCGCACUCACCUAGGAAAUUCUAGUCCAACACUUAGCAUACAAAUGGGGAGAGAGUUUCCUGUCUGGGGACACCAAAUUGUGUUUUAUGCAUAGCCAAAGUGUAUUUUCUUUGUCUGUGGGAAGGUCAAAAGCACUGAAGAGUCAGAUCCAGUCAGACCAAAGCAGGGAAAGUUGAAGUGGGAACUAAUAUUAAAAAUUGUGGCAAAUGUGACACAAGUCCACUAAAAUCUCGUUCCUACUUAUUUCUGCUCCCUUACUCCUCAGAAAUCUGUCUGUUGCCAGCACAGUGUCUAUAUCUGAUUUCUCUUAAGUUUCUUUCAGAACAAACUGUCAUAUUUACAGAGCAGAAUCACUCAGCAAUCCACCCAGAAAUGGCCAUGAGAUUUGAAGUUAGCCUGGAUAUCUUUCAAAGGACACCAAAGAUAACUGCACUGGGUCUUCUAUUGCAUUUCCAUUUUAUGGCAUCUUUUUAUAUUCUGUAGUAAGCUUUUCUGAAUAAAAAUGAGACAGCCUCUUAAGAGGCCUUUUUAUUAUUUGCAUUUGGCAAAAACAGCCUUAAUGAGCUGUUAAGAGUCAUUCCCCAGUCCUAUUGUUGGCGAUGCAUGGGAGCCUGUAAAGUGUUGAAAAGCCAAAAGACAAUUUAUGAUCCCUGAUGCUAUCCCUUCCUGAGACAAUUCUUCCGAAAGGAAGAUAUCUGGGGAGUAGGAAGUCCCAUUAUUUAAAUGCUUGAGUAACUUUUACUGAAGUCAUAACUGUGGAAUUUGCUAUUUUCAUUUCAGAACUGUUUACACUCUCUGUGUUCCCCUUAAAAGCAGCAAUGUCACGUCUGUGCUGCAUGCUUAUUCCCAUCUGCAGCACUAGAGAAUAGGAAGAUGACUCAAGGAAAAUUCCCCAUUCAUUUCCGAGUUUGAACAAAUAGCACCAAAUUCCAAGCAGGCACUAACCAACUUACAAAACUCUUUAUGUUUUUCUUUCCAAGCAGCGCUCAUGCUUAAUAUCUAGGGGCAGUGGUCUCUUUGUCAGCACCAGUCGCAUCAGCCUGGCCCACACUGAUCUGGAAAGUGCAAAGGAACUCGGAUUUACUGACACAGGCAACAAAGAGGGUUAUUCAGCACAGUCGGGAAAAAUGAAACAAAUAGUUUCACAAGUUUCUGCAGCGGAGGGAUGUGUGGUUGGUUCUUGGCAUUGUUUUCCCUUGGAAAAUGGGAGGCAGCCAGUAAAUGUCGGAGGUGUUUGUUAGUGACUGAGGGUGCUGAAGAGACAAUCAAAUAUUUGUGACAAAGGCCAAGAACUUGGAUGUUAUCGUUGACACCCAGACAUCUCGAGAAAAGAGCAAAUAUUGCAUUAAUUGUGUUGUCUCUUACUGUAAACGAUGAAAUGACAUCUUUUACCAAGCUCAUGUGUAUUAAUCAGCUUCAGCCCUUACAAAGUUAAAUACUGUAAAUGGAUGAGGGAUAGCUUUGUCUGUUUGACAGUAAUUAAGUGAUACUCUCAGUCUGAACAAAGGGAUGACCCAAUGAGGCCUCACACUAGUGUGAUUUUUCCUCUUUGGAGAGAGCUAUAGUCACUCCUAUUAAUGAAAACAAGGAAGGCAUUAAAAUAGUGAAAGACUAAAAAUUCUCUUUAAGAAGUCAGGUUUUAUUUGGGAGGUAUUCUCUUUUAAUAAAACCAAACCGUAUUCUUCGUUGUGGUAUUUCCAUUGCAUUACUUGCUGUAUAAUCCCAGCACAAAUCAGGUGUACAAUGAGCAUCCCAUACAGUCACCCAACACCUGGAAUUGAAGUGUGAUAUUGAAGUGGAGGGAAAAUUCAUUUAAAUGGUUAAUUAAAGCACCUGGGGAAGCUUGAUAUAGUGACUGGCCAAAAAAAACCCACAACCCACUACAACUCAAUGAACAAAUGACUCCAAAUGUUGUUGUGCCUCUGAUAAGAAAAUCUCUGCUACAAUCCAUCAUUCCAGGAUACUUGCAUGUCACCCCAAAGAUGCUGAGUGGGCACCAGUUAAAAAGAGAGCAGAAUAAACCCAAAGCUCCGACAAAAGGGGAUUUGUAGCCAACUCCAACCCCCCCCAGUCCGAACAGGCAGUGGGGGACAAAUUCUGAUUUGGGGUACCACCAAAUUAAGGCACAAAUAGACCCGGGCAGUGAGGAUUCAGGCCACGGUUAUAUUUGGCUUUUCAUCUGCUUUCAAAGGGCACAGCAUGGGCUUUAUUUGGAUUUAGAUGGAUAAUUUCAAAGCUAAUUUUUUAAUAAAUAAUCAAACAUGUGAUUUGAUUGCCUUCCUUUUAUUGGUACAUGUAAUAGUCACUUAAGUUCUACUAGAACAGAAUAAAGUGUCCAAAGAUAAAGCAUCUUGCUCUUACUAAAAAUGCCAGUGUGGGUGCUAGUUUUUAGCCCUGUCUCCUAGGAAGCAUCAUAAAGUAUCAGAUCCUGCAGUGAUUUUUUCAGAUCAAAUUCCCAUCGAUUCUAUCCUAUGCCUGAUAUCUUUUUUCAGACACAACCUUAUUUUUCUGUUUGAGUUUGGUUUUUUUUAAAUCCCCUGAAACCUCAGGGUCUGAUUCUGCCCUUGCAUCCUGAAACGAGUAGAGUGACUUUUAAGACUUACUCCGUCUUACAUUACUAGCAGUAUAACUGCUGUAUGAUUGUGUCUUCCGUCGGGGAAAUAUUGCCUUGCUGUUUUGUUCAAGCCUGAGUCCUUUGUCUGAAAUGCAAUCAUCAGCCAUUACCCAUGUGCGCGGAGCAUUUUGUCACAGUUACUUACUGCUCACAAGCCAGCCCUACAUAGUAAACAGUCAGAUGUGGGGCCAACCUCUCGGCUGUGAGGAGUGUGACAAUAAAGCGAUGCAAAUCCACAACAGCUGGAUUCUUGGCUCCUCACUUGGCUUCUGAUUAUUGAAAAAUGUUCUUUCCUUCUGUAAUUUUAUUUGCAUAAAAACAUGACACAAUAAUUUGACGGCUGCUCACCCCCAUGCUGUGCGCAAAGGCAAAACAGCUUAAUAUUGAACUGAGCAAUCUUUAUUUAUGUUCUUCUGAAAUCACUCAUCUUUCACUUUCUAUCCUGCGCUGUGACUUCAAAAGUGACUUACAGUGCAGCUGGGUUAUGCAGUAAAAUGAGUAAUUCGUAGCUGUUAAAAGGAUUAUUCUUCUGUUAACUCAUGGAACAAAGCUUCCCAAUAAAUGUUGUAUUCUGCUAUGCACUGAGUGCUUUUGUCCACUUCAUAGCACAAAUCAUACUGUUCCCGAGUGCUCAUCCACAGCAGUAUUCUUUAAUGCUUAACUCUGUGACCUCACAAAAAUAAUUGGUGUGAAGCAAAUUUACUUAGCCCUCCGCCUUUAUUUGCAGACUGAAUGGCUCAGAGAAUUGUGCAUAUUGUUUAUGGAAAUGAAGAGGGAGAAAAGAAAACAGAACAUUACCCUCCAGAUAAAGAUGGGCCUAUGCACAGGAGAAACAUAGGGGCUUAGCAUGAUGUCCCUGCUUGCAUUAUAGACACCUAAUGAGAGAUGCUGAUCGACUAAUACAACUGCAAAUCAGCUCAGAGACUGUGAAAAUCCAUUCCAGCUGCUGCGAUUUAAAACAGUUAACAUUUUUUACCUUAUUCUUAAGUUAAAAUUUCAGGUUUAGCUGUGAGCUUUACCUAAUAAUUAUCCCACAGAUGCAAAUAGCAAUGAUUUAUGACCAGAUUUCUGUGGAUUUACAAGGGAAAGAAUAAGCCUGAUUCUCAUUUCUCUGCAUAAAUUUGGAUUUUAGAAGUCCUAUUUGAAACUUUGGGGAUUUUCAGCAUAAUCUGGGUUCCAAACCCAGGGCCUGGUUUCCGAGUCUGUCGCUGAACCCCAGCAACCCCAGUUCUGGCAGCUCCUUUCAUACUGGGACGAAGGGGGAUGGGAAGGGCGCUGUGAACAGAUCCAAACACUGCUUAUUUGUCUGCGUAUAUAUUUAUAUGUAUAUGUAUGUAAAUCUACCCUCUACAGAAAAAAAAUCCGCAAUCCAAGUCUCAAACAGGGUGAUAGACAUAACAGAAUAGUUUUGCUUGAUGUGCAUGUGAUAUAACCAUGCCACAAAAGCAGCUUACCAAACAGCUUGCACAGAUUAGCUAACAAGAACUGAGCUAUUCUUUUCAGGAGGUGUUAUUAGCAUAUUUUUCAUCAAUACUAUACUUAACAGCUACUACAUAGCAGGAAGUGGUAUUUAACCUCUUGUUACAAUGUAACAAGAUUACUUUGUAUGGUUAUGUUACAUUCCAUUCAUAAAGGCCCUCCUGUGUCCAGUUAAUUAGAUUCACUGUUUGGCAGCAUUAACGGGAAGAAAAUGCAACAAAAUGCAUUUGGAAUAUUGAAAUGUUAAGCUUGGUUUGGUUUGUCUUUAAGGCCAUAUUGAGAGCUAUAUAAAUCUUGAUGUUGAGAGAUAGAUGGCGUUUAUUAGAAUAUUCUGCCAGGUUCUGAUGGACACAGGGUUUUAACCACUUAAAUCAUCCAAGUUUGAAGGAAGGUUAAUUCUCAAAGUUAUAGUUAUCUAAAAUAUAAUAGAUGAGCAGCACCUGAUUUUCUGAGUCAAAACCAGAUGAAAGUAUUUUUCCUUGAUUUGACUGUAAAACCCUGAGCUACAUGGGACUCUCUUACCCAUAAGACUUUUCAGUGAAUUUGGGCUUGGUUUGGAAAAGGACAGGAGCAAUUUGAAGAAAUUAUACUGAAUUUAGAGUAUGGAAUAAAACUAUACAGCAUCUGAGUCUUGUGCGAUGUUGUAGUUUUGUUUUGAAUGACUUUUGUGGUCUUAAUAAUUUGUUGUUUUGUUUUGUUCUCCCUAAAGAUUUUCUGGGUUGCAAGAUGGGUGCCAGAAGUGCUAUUUAUUAUUUGAAAGAACCAACGCUAAUUAAUGAAACAUAAUAUGAAACAAAAAAUAAGCUCGGAACAGCCGCAUAUAGUUUGGAAGACAAUUACAGCAGAAGAUGCUCUGGGUUUCUACAAAACAUCUUGAAAAACAGUUAAAUGAGCCUGGUUUUACAUCUUCUAUAAGAACAUGGGUUUACCUCUGCGUAAAGAAAAAAAGGAGGGAAAAAAAUAGAGAAAUAAACUAAUGAAAAUCAGUAAUGCAGUUUAGCAAUGCUACUGUUUUGCUGUUGGGCUGUCACGUUACAGGCAGCAGUUUCUGUGCAGCAGCACAAAAGACACAUCAGAAUCAGAUAUUUUUUGCCUUCCACCCACCUUUCUAAGACUCAUCAACACAGCCCUUAUCAUCUGGGGUGGGGGGUUAAGUCAAAGGAAAUAUCUACAAGUGAACAGGGAAAAUGUGUUUUCAUGUGCAAGAUGAACAUUGAAAAAGAAAUUAGGAAAAAUUGGUGCUGGGUUUUUUUUUCCUGCAUGAAAACGUUAAAAAUGGAUCUAAGUUAUAUUGAACUACCAUUUAAAAAUAUGCUGAAAGUGCCGAGGUGCUGUCAUAGAUUUUACAGGGUGCUUGGUUGGUGGAGGAGUUAAAUGGGCUAAAAUCCUGUGGACAGCCAGCGAACAAAGUGUGAUUUACGUUUUAGGAGCAUGUCGGUGUGGAUUAAAUCCACAAGGGCAAUCAUACCCUCAGAAAGGAGGGGGGUGAGCAGUGAUCUGUCUGCGCCUCUGGUCUCCCCUGCCUUGGGCUGGGCUUUGCUGCGAGGGUCCCGGGGGCUUCGCCCGUCUCCUGCCCUCACCUCCUCCUGGACAAGUUCCUUAUCCCCAUGUGUCACAGCAAAGCAGUGACCACGCAGCUCUCCAGCCAGCGAAGCAGGUGGGGACACCUGGGGUGGCCCCUUCCCACCCGCUGGGUACACCGAGCCCUCCAGAUUUCACCCUACAGACCUCGGCCCAGACAAGUGGUGCAGCAGCCCCGGCCUUGCUGCUGCUUCUUGCUCAGAUCAAUUCUUUAAAAUGUUUUGUUUGUGUGUUUUGAGGCUGCAAAGUUAAUUUCAAGGGACACUGUCAAGGUGAGCGAGCUCAGAAUUUGAUUUGACUCACCGUGCAUGUUUCCUAAUAACUGUUUGAAGAGUCUGCAUAGAUCUAUUUUUUUUUUUUCUUUUCUCGAUACAAAUGUAUUUCUCUAGGGAAAAUAUAUCAAAGCUGCACAUUUGACUUCACGGGCAACCUUGCUAAAUGUGCCCAGUGUUUAUACAUAAUAGAGGAGAGGCAAAUUAGAAUGAAAACAAGCUUCCUUUUCAAGCUUUCCAAAGGAAUGAGUUUAUUAAAAAAAAAUAGAACUUGAAGCAAGAGGAGGAUUUUAAAAAUGCUGUACAACUCUUUAAGCAAAAGCCUUUGAAAUUUAAAAACCAAACAAACAGAGUGAGUAUUUGUCAGUGGAUUAUGGGGCACUUAUUGACUCCUGCAGUGGUUCCCACACUUCCCAGGGUCACAUUUAGCUAGUGUCCCCUCACAUCUGCCCUAGCCUCUCCAGAUACAGCUGACAAAUCCCGACAUCCAGACUUGGCUGAAAUUACUGUGUGUUGGACUUAUCAAUUACUCGAUCAAUAACCUCUAAGAUGUGUAUGUAUCCUCCUAUAUUUGCCGAAUCUUCCUUUUUCCCCAGUUACCGAGACUUUGCUCAAUGAAACAGAACCUGGUGAAGCUUCUGGGUUCUUUGCAAUGAGGACGCUUGCCCAUGUUUCAAGGGCAGCUAAGCCUCUUCCUUGCCCACAUUCUUAAGCUGUAGAGAGAAAACGUGUAAAUAUAAUAUGAACCCUGAAACUCACUCCUGAUUUCAAGACUCUGCUUAUUUUUUGCAAAUAUUCCCAGGAAAGCAAAGGAAGCUGAAAUACUAUUUGAAAUCUUUGCAAUGCUAGGGUCACCAUCAACAGAUAACUGAGGCUCUUGGAGUCUUUAGCACAUGAACAUCAAACUUACAGAGUUCUUCUGCAAAACACUGUGAAUGAAAACUGUGAAAUUAAUUGAAAAGCUCCAUUUCAAUUAAUUUGUGUUUUUUCCACUUGUGUGGAUAAGCAAACUAGAUUUGUUGUAGUUUUUCCCUUUCUUUUCUGUCCAUCUUUGGGGUUUGGUUUGGUUUUUGUUGUUGUUGGUUUUAGUUUUGCGUUGUGUUGGGGAUUUUGUGUGUGUUUUGUUUUAUUUUCUCCAUUCCCCCUUCUACUGCCACAACAGGGAAUGAGAGAAAACAUCCUAAAAUAAAUAAUCAAACACACUUUUUCUUUAAAGAACGAUUAUUAUUCAAAUAACUUCUAGCAGUCAGCUUCAAAUCGAAUUUCUUCAUUUUGCUUUCAAGAUAUCACGUAUCCAUUUAUUAACUUAGAAUUACAGCCAAAUCCCAUGGCAUUAUUUCUGCGAAUUAAAGGAAGCGGUGCAUCCUCUCUGAAUUUCCCGCAUGUUUCUUACAGCUGCUGCUGGACCUUUAUCUGGAACUCUGCUGCCUGGAGAUGCGAGCUCACUGCAGCAGAACUUACCACGCUGCUUCUCCUUGUGUACGUGUGCAGGUGAGCUCCGGGAACCGCCCCCCGGUCCCAUCUCGGGUUCCGUCCCAGUCCCGCCCCUGGUCCCAUCCCCGGUCCCGUCCCGGUCCCAUCUCCGGUCCCGUCCCGGUCCCAUCCCGGUCCCAUCUCCAGUCCCGAUCCGGUUCCGUCCCGGUCCCAUCCCAGUCCCGUCCCAUCCCCGGUCCCUGUCCCGGGAGCUGUCCAGCAAGGGCCGAGGCAGCGGCCGCGGGGCUGCGCGGUGCCUCCCGGCACGGAGCGGCUCCUCCAGCAGCAGGGGCAGGACAGCCAGGAGUGCCCUGGAAACCAGCGAAACGCCGCUUGGCUGUUUUACACCAGGUGAAAAUCCCGGGGCUGUUCGUUUGCAUCUCCUGUAGAUUUUAGAGACUUGCGUCAGCCUCCCAAAGCAAGGAGGGAAAUGUUGUGUGAUGAGUCACUCUCUGCUAUAUGAGCAUAAAUACACACACAGACAUGUACAUUUACAGCCCCGGUGUUUGUGCUGAACAAACACCCUGCAGCCCACGACACCCCUGCUUCAGCUGCAGAGUGGGUGCCUCCCGCACCUUAAAUCACUUCCAAAGAGUUCACCUGCACAGGCCACCACAGGAAAUACGUUUCUGUUCACCUUUCUGUAAACCUCCGUGUAACAAUAUUAUAGGUUUUCAAAGGCUUCUUUGUAUCCCACACUUUAAACUACUAUCUGAAGAAACUAUUCCAAUCUCUUUCAGCAGGUUUUUCUCAAGUAUCUUUUUUCCUGCAGAAGCUGCCCCAGGUGUUAGGACCCCUUCUAUCUCACCUCCCGCUGGUAAGCCGCUAAGCUUAAAACCAAAACGUGACACAUCUACGGCUCUUAUUGUGUGAAGAGAUAAGGGAUAACUAUAUAUGAAGGAUCAGUUAUUUGGCUGUAGUUCAGGAAAAUACAGAGUCAGGGACCAAAUUGCAAACGUGUGUGUUCUCCUGGGAUUACUUAUAUGCUUAAAGUUGGGCACAUGCGUAAACAAUUUGUUGAAUCAGGGCCUAAAAUGGCAUGCUAUUGCUCAGUAUAAAUUAUACUUCGAAACUCAUUCUAGAGCACCAUGGUAAAAUAAAUCUUUAUCUUAGCUACUUAGUACUAAUGAAAAACAAUAUUAUCGGUACUUUUCCUAUAGCAAUUCACUUAAAGAGAAAUGUUGUACAAUUACAGAGAAUGGCUAACUAUGCUUCUUGAUCAACCUGAUAAUUAAUAGGAAUAGAGAAAAAGCCCUGUAUUUCUGAGUGCUGAUCAGGCAGCAAAGGCACUCCAAACAUCUAAAGAAAAAACAGUUUGUUAAUUGCUGUCUAGACAGUUUAUUGCUGCAAUAAGAUCAAAACACAGAAUACCGAGGUUUGUGGUAUGAAUCAUGCAGACUAAACAAUUGUUUUAUUGCAUUUACAGAGCACUAGAUUUACAACACAGUCAGCUUGGUAAUAAAAUUCCUCCAUUGUAUAUCUUGAAUAAUUUCACCUCUUUUCACAUCUCUCUGUUUUAAUUCUAUAUCAAGAUGUUUUAAAAAUGUUUGGAUGGAGUGGGGAUUACUGUCAUGUAUAUAUGAAGUUGCUUAUCUUGGGUCUCGGUCAUAUAAUCACUAAGCAUCCAGUGUUCAGCUGAGCCUUGAUCAGCGCAUGGUAUUGUGGAUACACUGAGGAACAGAUUUAUUGGGCCACAGUCAACAGUGAGUGCACCAAAGGAAAAGUAAGACUGUCUCCUUGCGAGAGGUUUCAUCCCACUUCACAUUCAGCCGAAAGGAAUUAAUCGGGCAAGUGACUUUAAAAAAAACCAAACACUUUAUUACUCUACAAAACUUGGGGUUUUUUCAUGAAGAAGAAAGACUCAUCUGUCCAUUUCUGUGGGUAUCUUUGAGGUUUAAGAAGAGCUUUUCUGGGAAGAAAUAGAUUUUGGGGAUGAUGGAAAUUCUGUUGUCUUUACUGAGUGCUGAGCUGGGCUAAGGGAACAGUUGCAUGAAAUCUGAGUCUGCGCAAAGUGCCAGCUUUCCCUGGGAGCAUAAAGCGCUGUUGCCUGUGUCUUUGUAUAAAACAACUUUGUAUAUUUUUUUUCAUUUCCUAAUUUUGACCAUUCGUGAUCACCCCAAUAUCCAUGAAAAGCAAAGAGGUAAUAGAUCAGAUUGUAGUUCUGGAGCAAAAUGAAACCAGAGGUCUAAAGCCUGAGAAUUCUAAUCUUACAGACUGCAAUCCUGGUCCUGUUGAGUACAGUGGAAAUGUUGCCACUGUCUUACUGGGUCACCAUUGAAUCUACAGAUUUAUCGAAUCUGACAGUGCUGAGGUAAAUCAGGGUGAUAUUUCUCACUUUAUAAACACCUGUUUGCUUAAGAUUUUGGAGUAGAAGCUGCUUGGGUAAGUUUAGAUAAGUAUCUUUGGCUCAGUAUUGGGGAAAAAAAAAUCCUUCUCCAGCGUAAUCUGAUUAAAGUGAUCUGUGCUGACUCAUUGUAAUAACAUGAAUACCGUCACUGUAGCCACAUUUCCAGUUAAGCUUUUAAAAAGGGCAGGCCUGCCAGGCCUGCCUCAUAAAAUAUGUCUGAAGUGGAGGUAUCUUUGCAUAUGUCCACACUCAACUUCACCAGUAAAAGUUGGUAUUCCUGAUGGUCACAUGAAAUUAUUUCUAAAACUAGGUCUGUACCAAGGCUGUUCCACAAAGCUGCUGUGUGGACUCUUCAUUAGCUCCUGGUACCAACUGCACUCCAGAGAAAUGACAUCAAAUACCCUGGUACAAAUUUUUACUUCUGCUGCUCAGCUUCAUGGUGUGUGGAAGCUGGUCCUGGCUCUCCAAAAUCUCCCAGUAUUACGUUGCCUGUCUGCCUUGUAAUUCCUUUUGCAGCUUUGCAGGAAGACCAGAGUGGCUCCACUUCAAGCUGCAUCUGGACCUCCAGCACCCACCCAGGGCAGAACCAACUUCCUGAGUGGCCACAGCACAUGAAGAGCCAAAUCUGCAGGGGAGAGAUGGUCCCUGAGAAGUACAGAGACAAGAGUGAGCUGCAGAGGAAAAGCACUGAAGGAAGGAGCCAAUCAUCAAGGGACCCUGGCUCUGAAGCUGAACAAGGAACAUCUCACCUCCAGGCUCCUCACAUCAAGAUGCGCCACUUUCAACCUCGUCCAGGCGAAGAAGACUUAUGGGAACACAACCUCAGACUUCAUCAUCCUCUGGUAUCUCUUCAUAUUUGCGUAAUUUCCAACCCAGCAAGAAGCGAGGGAUCUGCAAUGUCCCUGCAGUGUGCUUUUUCCUUCUCACCCUAUUUUAAAAGGGCCAUACACUGCGAAAAAACAGCCUAAUGUUUGUGAAUUCCAGAGGGAAAACUAUUGGCAAUUUUGUGCCCACCUAAACAGUAAUUAUACAAUUUUGGGGUGUCAAUUUUAGGUCCCAAGUGUGUGUUUCAGGCCCUAUCUGUCCUUCAAAAGAGCCACCAGCUGGGCAGCUCUGCUCUGUGUGAAGUUAGGAAGAGUCCUUGCUGCAUUCCUCACAAUGUUGCUACACACAUUUGUGCAAUAUUUGGCUUAUUUGUGCAACAUAAUUAAUGAAACAUGUCUCAUUGGCACCAGCAUCCCUAGGGACCCUAAAGCAAAUGGGAGCCUUUGUAGCCUUAGAGGGUCUUAAAAGCAGAAAAUAUUUACCACAAGUUUAUUAAACCAAGCUUUACUGGUAAUAAAUUAGCAGCCUGUAGACAUGUCUGUUUCUUGAGGAUCUGACAUUAAUCUUUUAGAAAAAUACAGUAACAAUUUACAAUUUUCAUAGCGCCUUUCAAUCUUUCCAUUCACAAGCUGCUGAUAAACUUUGCUGCCAAAACUUUUAAGUUUGGUAAGGUGUCCAUUCCUAAGGCAGGGACUCCUGUCCAUAUGUAAUUCUCAGGAAGUCCAUCAAAUUCAUCAAGUCUGAUAUAGUGCUUACAGGCACAUGUGAGCAAAACCCCACGAGUAACACCGUCACGUUAUUCCUUUUCCCAUAGCCACUGAUGUGUGACACUGGAAAUAUUUUAAAGACAUUGACUCAGAGUGUCAGUAAUUGUGCUGGGACUGGCUGAUGGGUCCAUUCUGUCCCUACAUCUGCAGUUUAGGUUAUGUGACCUUACCGUGCUGUUUCAAAACCACAAAACACUGCGGCGGGGGGGAUGUGUUUACAGAUUUGCACACCCUUUACACUGCACCAUUGUAUGGUAAAUUAUAUGGGAGCCUCUCCUGAGCUCAUUAACAAAAGCCCAUUGUUUGAGGGUGUUAUAUAUCCCACGUGCUCUGCCUGGGAGUUAUAUUUGUGUCAUGAAAGUGUUGGCGAGUUCACGAGAACUGUUUUCUAGUAUUUCUGUUUGGAUUUUUAAUGACAUUUGUGCAGGUGCACAGCUUAAAAAAAAAAAAAGUGUGGGGGGGCUCUUUCCUCAAUCUACAGAGUUGUUCCAAAAUUCAGCUGUAACAACAGCUAUUCCCAGUGAUAUUUUUUAGCAGUGAUCUCAAAAUUUUGUGUCGUAUUAUCCAGUUUUAUUGAUUAAGGGUGUGUUUGAAUAUCUUUCCAUUAAAUAGCAUAUAUAGGUAGGAGAUAGCUUGUACAGUUCAGUGACAGCUAAAUCAAGUCCAAGGCAAUUAAACUUGAGGAUGUGUUUAGAUAUUAAUAUGUUCAUCUUUUCAGUGUAAAUGUUCUCUUAAUAAAUGAUGAAGUUUUAUUGCAGGAUCAAGCCUUAUGUGCCAGGCAGUAUAUUCCUCCCUUUAUUUGACACAACCUGAUAACUACUCAAAAGGUCUAAAAUCUGUGGACUGAACUGUGGCAUCAGUGACUGUGGCAUCAUGGCAGAAAGGGCUUAGUGUGUUCUUGUCCUGUUACACCUUUCCCAGUUCCUAUCCCAAGCUGGCUCUCCAUCCUUUGGUUUUUGUGUAUGUGUGUUUUAAUGCUGGAUCAAUUCCCUGAACUGGAUGACAGAUGGAUUUCACAACUAGAUGGGCCAGCACAGGAAGGACUGUGGUGCAUGGAACAAGCAAUGUGGAAGGAGUCCUGGAUUGCUGGAAACCACAAUUGCCUCAAAACUCACCCUACCAUGAAUCCACAGAUAAGGUUAGUCAUAGACCAAGACGUGCAGCUGAUGACCAACCCCAUGGGAGAAUCACUUCCCAGCAGCAUUGUGCAAGGGGCUGAUACUCUGUCUUCCUAAAUCCUGCAGGGCUAAAGCUUAUUUGGACAACAAACAAGGCCUGGUUGGAGUUCACCAUGCAGGAUUGUCCCUCUGAUAUAAUUCAGCUAUGUGUGUAUUUCGUUGCAAAGAAAAUAUAUCUAUGACUUCUGUGAGGUUCCUUCAUCAGUGCCCAUUAUACUAGUGCUAAAUGUUUGUUUGACUUAUACGUGUUAAAAGAAGUGCAUUGGACAGGAUUCUGAAUAAAUGCAAAUCAGAGGUGGAUCGUCGAAAAUAUUUGGAGUUAUAGACACAAGCAGGAUCCGAGUCAAGCCACUUGUCCUAGUUUCUGUCACAAACACUAACUCUCUAUAAAUCAUUAAUUUCCCAGACUGUUUAUUAUCCAGGGGAAGUAACAAAACAGUAGUAUCACAUAACACAUCCUAAGAAUGCCUUGUUCAUUUUAAGAGCAAAUAAAACUAAAUAGCACCAAGUUGUUAGUGAUGCAGCCUAUGAGACCAAGUAGUAACACAAAAAGGGGACCUUGGUCAGGCUAAGGCUGCAAAAUAAACAGAGAAAUUGAUUAAACAAACAAUAAAAAAGGUUGGAGAAGAGUGACUUCACAUAGACUAUCUUCACGUAGAUAUUCUUUCAUAGACUAUCUUCAUGUAGAUAUUCUUUGUUCACUAUCACGUGGAAAUGGCCCUUGUGUAUUACAUGGUGGGGCUUUCAUGGGGACGCUACUGCAGUGCUAUUAGAGUGCGAAUGGUUUCCACAGCUGCUCCUUCAGCUGCCUUUCUCACAGGAAUAAUCUAACACCUAUCCUCAGGCAGAGAAUAGAACAGAGCCACCCUUUCAAAAAAUAAUCAUCAAAAUUAAUUACACCACCAAGAAAGCAAACUUUUUGUUGUUUUGUUAGCACAGCCCCUCCUCUAAUGUGUUUGUCAUAUGUCACCCGGGAGCCUCUUGUGAUGAAGUAACAACAUUAAUUCCCAUUCCCAUCUGAAGAUGAGGCAGAGUGAGGGUGAUGUUUCUCUUUGCUGUGACUUCAUGGCAGUUCACCUUCCCACACAGCACCCGCUCCAGAUCCCGCCCUGGGGAGAGGAUGCUACAGCCAAGGCAUGAAAAUUCAAUCAUGCACCUUGCUCCAAAAUAUCAUGGCAGGGUUGCAAGCAGGAAGAUGAGAGUUAGACAAAAUAGGUGGAAAUUCUAAUUUAUUUGGUAAGCUUUCAAUGGAUAGUGCUGACAGCUGAGAAAUGUGCAGUUAUUUAUUCCUUGCAGGUUCGCUAAUGCAACAGUGCCAGAAACCGGGCUGGUUUGGUACUGUUGAACCUCACCAGCACAAAACAUAUUGGCUUUUUGUCAAUUUAGCUUCAAUCAAUUUGCAGUUUUGCUAGUAAAAAGUCCUUUUCUGGCCAGUAUUACUGAGUUUAUAUUGAGCUGGCAUUCCUGCUGGCCUUAUUUGUCAGUAAAGUAUCAUACUUCUAAAAGUGAUGUUAGCAAAACCAUAAUCCAGGCCUCACACGUUAUUUUGGUCCAGAUGUUAUUUAUUUUCAUCUCUUAAGGUUCCAAAAUACCAUAUAUUUACAGUUGCCUUUAAAGUUAUUGUUAGUUACAAAAUAUUAGAAACAUAGUUUCAUCUAUAAAAUGCAUAAUUAAAUUAAUCUUUACCAUACUUACUUUACAUUACACAGGAAACACUUUCAUCUGAUGAAUACCAUGGACACAUAAUUAGUACUUUAUACCAUAAACUAGAUUAUAACUUACACUGUCCACCCUGACUCCAAAAAUCCUUGCAGAUUUUAAUUAAAAUGCUGGGCAUUAUUUGAUGAAAGCAUUUGAAUUCAAUUAUUAUUAUUCAGUACGGAUUUGUGCCUUUAUAUAGGUUAGACGUGGUAGUAGUUUUAAACCCGAAGUUUAGUGGAAGUCUCAAAUUAAGCAUUUGCUUUUAUAUUUAGGCAUCCACCACAUUUAAAAUGCUGAACAUCUGAGUUUUCUAGCUGAGGUUUGCCCAAGGUAGGGUUUAGUGGGAAUCAAGACUGGAAGAUAAAAGUAAAGGGAAACUAAAUCUGAGGUAUUUCUGAAUUUCAAUGGCAACUGGGCAUCUGACCCACUCAGACUCUUCUGAAGGCCUUUUUACGUGCCUAUCUGUACCUUUUGAUACCUAAAUACCUUUCAAAUCUGGCAGGACACUUUGGAUAAAUGUUUAACAGUAAACCAAAUAAAAUCCCGUUGUUCUCUUUGA